RNAcentral lists this ribosomal RNA (485 nucleotides) under uncultured bacterium. RNAcentral's name for it is "partial 16S ribosomal RNA". It matches the Rfam family "Bacterial small subunit ribosomal RNA", at positions 32 to 507 of the family's 1533-position model. The record is from RNAcentral.
UUUAACGCUGGCGGCAUGCCUUACACAUGCAAGUCGAACGGCAGCACGGGUGCUUUCACCUGGUGGCGAGUGGCGACCGGGUGAGUAAUACAUCGGAACAUGUCCUGUUGUGGGGGAUAGCCCGCCGAAAGCCGGAUUAAUACCUCAUACGAUCUACGGAUGACAGCGGGGGACCUUCGGGCCUCGCGCUAUAGCUUUGGCCGAUGGCUGAUUAGCUAGUUGGUGGGGUAAAGGCCUACCAAGGCGACGAUCAGUAGCUGGUCUGAGAGGACGACCAGCCACACUGGGACUGAGACACGGCCCAGACUCCUACGGGAGGCAGCAGUGGGGAAUUUUGGACAAUGGGCGAAAGCCUGAUCCAGCAAUGCCGCGUGUGUGAAGAAGGCCUUCGGGUUGUAAAGCACUUUUGUCCGGAAAGAAAUCCUUGGCCCUAAUACGGUCGGGGGAUGACGGUACCGGAAGAAUAAGCACCGGCUAACUACGUG